Long non-coding RNA from Homo sapiens (human), 2957 nucleotides. The record is from Ensembl. NCBI's taxonomy places the organism in Eukaryota, Metazoa, Chordata, Mammalia, Primates, Hominidae.
AGAAGUGUUCAAUAGUAAUCAACCCUGCAGUCUUUUUCUUUCUGGUUUUAGGUUUUUGUUCUUGCCUAGGAAGACCUUCUUCACCACAAAUGCCAGAAAACAUACUCUGUGUGUUUUAAUUCCUUGGACUUGAUUGAGACUUGUUUCAUGAUUCAGCAUAUGGUCUGCCUUGGCUAGUCCAGCAAUUCAGGAGCAGUUCCAUCUUUCUAAGUUUUUGUGAUUGUUGAAUGAGACCAAAGGAGAUAACAGAAGAACUUGAGAAACUCUAGCCCCAGCAUCUUGAAAUGAAUGACAAGAUACAGAAGUCUACAGCCAAAGGUAAAGAAGAGAGUCUAAAAACUCAAACGUAUCUAAAAGCCAUGACACAGAAGGCCUGGAGACUGCAUGGAAUGAUGAGGACUGCAGUGAACUCUGAAGUGCCUACCCAUGUGAAACGAACAAGUGCUAUUCGGAAGAAGCAGGUUGUGUUAAUGUGGAAGUAGCUGGAUGCCAGUUUUCUGAGAUUUGCCCAAACAUGGAUGACUUGCAUGUUACGAAAGGAUUUUGCCGUGUCAAAUGUUUUCAUUUCGUUUAUUAGUUAAGACAUAUAAUUCAAAACUCUUUGGCCACCUCUAGGAGUAUGUAUUUCAUUAAGAUUAUGUAAAAACUACUAAUAGUUUCACAAUUGAAUACAUAAGUAUGUGCCUAUUUGGGGAGGAAGGGGCAUUCAAAUGACAAUUAACAGUAACAGAGUAACAGAAACUGAAAUCUCCGGCCUACCUCUAGGUCCGUUCCCAAGAAUAACAUUGUUAGUCUCACCCCAAUUCUAUUUAGAAUUUAGUGCUAUUCAUCUGUAUCCUGAUAUAAUCAUUGUUAAAACAAUUAAUUUUGCUCUCAUUACGAAAAAAUAAAGAAUUUACCUAAAACCUAUCUCUUUUCCUCUUGUACAUCGAAGGUUUGUUAUAAUUUUCCAUUCUGCUAAUGAUUCUCAUUUUAAAGCAUUCAAAUUGAUGUUAAUUGCAUAAGGAAUACAGUAAUAUUUCCUCCUGAUAAAAAUCUAAAAUGUUACAAAUAAGGCUGUUACCCCUUUGAUUCUCAUUUUGAUCUACACAAAUAAUUGAAUAUUUGUAAGGCUGUGAUACAAUAAUCACAAAUAAGUGAUACAAUAAUCACUUUGGCCUCCCAAAGUGCUGGGAUUACAGGCAUGAGCCACUGCGUCUGGCCAACAUUUACUUUUAACGUGUUACUGAAACUACUAUUCAGGUUGAGUAUGUACAUAAUGGAAGCUGACUCAAAAUUUAACUGCUCCUAUAAGAAAAAAAACUAUGCAUUUUCAUAUUAUUGUCCAUCCAUUCAUUUAUUCAUUCAUUAAAUUGUGUAUUUAUUAAUGCAGAGCCAGAUAUUAUGAAUACUCAGAUGAUUAAGAACCAUAUAUUACUCUCAAGAAUACACUGUGAAGUGAAAAGAUCAAUGGUCAGUCCCAGACAUCGAUUUCCAAGCAAAUAUUAAGUCAUUAGAUCAAUAGUAGCCAAUAAUAGGACCAAGCCUCUUUCCCUUUGGAUUCCUAUCCAGCUGUUGCCUCUGUGAGCAAUGCAGCUUCCUAAUUUCUUUGGUAUACAAGCUUUUCUACUGUUUUCUUUACAUUUCUAAGGCCUCUGGCCACCACUUUUAACAUCUAGUUUAUUAAUUGUCACUACUUAAGUUAAUCUUUGUUCUAAGAAACAUAUUUUCUCAAAAAGAUCUAGAAAGAGAUAAGUUUCAUUAAUGGAGACUUUUCAUAUUAAAAAGUUGCUGGAAACCGUUUUCUCAUGCUUUUAAAAAAUAAUUAUUUUAAGAAUAAGGUGGUAUUCCAAUAAAGGUCAUAAUUAACAUAAACUUAAUAAAAUUUGACCUAGGGAGGGUUUACUUAAUGUAAGCUUCAUUAGAAAUCUCUUUUAUUCUAAAAUAUUAAACCUAAUCAACCCAAACAAAAUUACUCAGCAUGCUGAAUAUGAUACUGAAUGUAGUUCUGUACAGUGUUUUCUUUAAAUUUGAAAGGUCAAUCCAGACUAUCAACCCAUGACCAGCAAUUACCCAUUACAGAAUCGUCAAUAAUUUUAACUUUGAAAAUAGUAGACAGAAAAUGGGAGUUCAUAAUUAUUUGCUGAAUGAGUGAAUGGGAGCUGGAACAGGACUCAGGCAACCUAGUGUAAUUACAACUAGUUUGUAUUCCCUGGCCCUAGUUACCUCAUCUGCAGAGUGAGAUGCGUGGAUACUGUUCGAUUGUAACAUAUUUUAUAUGUAUUAGGUUGGUGCAAAAGUAAUUGUAAUUUUUGGCCUUACUUUCAUUGGCAAAAACUACAAUUACUUUUGCACCAAUCUAAAUACUUUCUAUAUACUGGUGAAGACAGAAAUUCAAUGAUUCAAAAAUACAAUAGGAAUGUUUUUCCCUUCCAAGUACUUUCAGUUUAGAAAAAUGGCCAAAAUUUCUGUCUGUGAUAGUUCUAAUAUUGAAAAAGUAAAGGUAAUAUAAACCAUAAUAAACAGCAUAAGUAUAUUUUAUGUGAUUAUUUUGAUCAUUUAUUCCCCAAUACUAUAUGACUAUUUCCUGUGUGACAUGCACCCCACCAAGUGCUUAGUAUGUAAUAUAAAAAUAUAGACAUACCUCAUUUUAUUGCACUUUAUUUUAUUGUACUUUGUAUUAUGUUUUUUACAAAUUGAAGGUUUAUAGAAAUUCUGCAUCCAGCAAGUCUAUCAGUGCUCUUUUUCUAAUAGCAUGUCCUCACUUUCUGUCUCUGUGUCACAUUUUGGUAAUUCCCACAGUACUUCAAACUUUUUUAUUAUUAAUAUAUCUGUUACUGUUAUCUGUCAUCAGUGAUCUUGCAUGUUAUUUUUGUAAUUGUAUUGUAAUUGUACUGGGGCACCUGAACUGUGCCCACAGGACAAAUAAGAUGGCAAACUUAAUCAAUAAAUGUUCUGUGUAUUCUGACUGCUCCACC